This 4344-nucleotide long non-coding RNA is filed under the name Homo sapiens (human). Its description in RNAcentral is "non-protein coding lnc-C10orf143-11:4". Lineage: Eukaryota; Metazoa; Chordata; Mammalia; Primates; Hominidae. The record is from RNAcentral.
GCCCCUGCCUGCGCUGAGGCUGCCGAGCCUGAGAAAUCCCAAAAGGGGCCUCGGCGGCGGGCUCUGGAUCCCGCUGGGGGGCUCUGACCCUGCCAAGUCUGGGCACUCCGCUGCGGGCCUCCUGGCUCCCGGGGUUCAUGGCUGUUAUGGUUCCUGGCUGUCGGGGCUCCUGGCUUUCGGGGCUCCCUGGCUGAAGGGGCUCCUGGCUGUAGGGGCUCCUGGCUAUGGAGGUUCCCGGUUAUAAGGGCUUCUGGAUGUAGUGGAUUCUGGCCGUCGAGGUCCCUGGCUGUCGGGGCUCCUGGCCGUAAUGGCCCCUGGCUGUCGGGACCCCUGGGUGUCGGGGUUCCUGGCUGUCGGGACCCCUGGGUGUCGGGGUUCCUGACUGUAGGGGCUCCUGGGUGUUAGGGUUCCUGGCUAUAGCAGGGGCUCCUGGGUGUCGGGGUUCCUUGCUGUCAGGGCUCCUGGUGGUAGAGGCUUCUUGCUGUUGGCUUCCUGGCUGUCGGGGUGACUGGGUGUCAGGGCUCCUGGUGUUAGGGUUCCUGGCUUCCUGGCUGUAGUAGGGGCUCCUGGGUGUCGGGGUUCCUUGCUGUCAGGGCUCCUGGUGGUAGAGGCUUCUGGCUGUUGGGGUUCCUGGGUGCCAGGGCUCCUGGGUGUCAGGGUUCCUGGCUGUCAGGACACCUGACUCCUGAGGCUCCUGGCUUUUGGGGCUCCAGACCUUCCUUGCACUUCCUGUGUCUCCUGGGUCUGUAAUAGAAGGGGCCGGUGGAGGGGUGGGGGUGAGACAUGUGAGUGAAAGUGAAGUCAGAUGUGUACAUUUAGGAAGCUGAAAUUAUCAAAAAUGAAAUUGCAUAAAGAACUGACUGGGAGAACCCAGCAAGGCUGGUCUGGUGUUCAGAUUCUUCCUGGCCUCUGUGCAGCCUCCUUCCUUCUGGGUAAAGGAGCAAGACCCUCUGUGGAAUGAGGUCUUAUGAACUACACUCAAGCAAGAAGUAUGUCUUAUCUGAUGGCUUCACAGUAAUCUGGUUUCCCCUAAGAAGCUAAGACUAUCUGGGCUAUUUGAGAUCCUGCAAGAUUUAUCAAGACUGUACUAGCCAUAUGAAAGCAUGUUAACACAGGGAGGGAGAGAGGAAAAGCCCUCCACAUGUUAUGACUGGCAUACAUGCUUCCAAAGCAUCGUUACUAACCGAAGGCCCAGUUCCUGAGGCGAUCACCCCAGACACACUGAAUGCAAUUUGUUGGUCACUGAGUGGGUAUACCUAAUCACCACAGAUGUUUACAUGCAGCUGCAUUUUCUCUCCGUUUGAGUCACAAUGUUUUAUAUGUAAAUAGUAUUGUGUGCAUGUGUGUGCAUAUGUGUAUUUAUCCUCCAAGUCCAGAUGGAGUUAAUUUUCUGCUGUUAUUUGUAGUUCAUGUUUCAUAUCUAAGAAACUAAGGACCCAGAUGAGCUUUCCUUGGUGUCACAAACUUUUUUUUUUUUUUUUUAAUAGAGAUGAGGUCUCACUAUAUUGCCCAGGCUGGUCUCCAACUCCUGAGCUCAAGUGAUCUUCCUGCCUUAGCCUCUCCAAGUGCUGGGAUUACAGAUGUGAGCCACUGCACCUGGCCAACAAACUUCUGAUUCUUAUAGAAUCAGAUGUAAUUCCUUAGAGACCUGAGAAGUUCUAUACUCAGGUUCUUUCGUGCCGUCUGACUCCAAGAGCUCUUGCCUGAAGGAGGUCCCUUCCAGGACACUGAGUCCCAACCCACACCACCUCCUUGGAGGGCGUGUGCCCUCUCUUCCGCUGACCUUGACAUUCUUGCACAGGCUGCUUGUGCACAGAGGCAUCACCUCCCAGAGGGGACCUCUGGAGUGGCCCCAGGUACCAGGUACAGUCAGCCGCUUCUACCUGUGGAAGGCGAUCAGGGUAGAAAGCUCUGGGAAGCACUAAAAAUACACACAACCCUUACAAACACAACUCGGUGAUACAUGCUAAUAGUUCUGGACUCCAAACUGGGGCCAAAGCACAGACUCCACAGCUAGUUCUAGCAUGUAGCAGAUGUCACCCAACCUGGAAAGCUACUUGGUUGAAACUUAGUUAAAUCCGUGGCCACAGCAGUUUUAUACUUGACCUGAGUCCUCCAAUGUCUGCCACACCUGCAGUGGCUUCCUUCCCAUUCUCUCUCUCCUCUAAAAUACAAGAGGCAUUUCCCCCCAGUGCAGGAAGAUGGAACAGACUAUUUUGGUUAAUCAUCUACAUUUGUGUUCUUGAGUUUCUUCUGGAGUUGUCCAGCCUGGGGCUGCAUGCACAUUGGCCCACCACAAAUGCCUCCCUCUGCGGAGAGUGAGGUGGGCCGGUCGGGGCAGAACGCCUGCUUCUCAAUGCACCCCUUGCUCACUCAGCUCUGGGAGCCCCCCUGCCAGCGUGCCCGAGAGCUACUCUAAAUGAAGUUCGAGCUCCAUUUCAGGAAGGUGGUGAGACAAUAAAAUAACCCAGGAUGACGUGAACAGUUUUGCAUUUGCUUCAAACUCUGAAAGGAUUCAUGGUUCCCACGGCCUCCAGACUGGAUGGACCACUUUGGGUUUCAAUGGCAGGAUGAUUUUUCUGUAAAACAAUGGCUGGCUUUAAAUUUCUUCUUCUAGAACAAACCAAAAAAGAAAAGAAAAAACAAACCACUAAUUCUUAAGGAUGCAUAGGCCCCAGUUGCCUGAUGGUAUGUAGAAAGAAAGAAAGAAAUACAGCGGUAAUGUUCUGGUGAGGGAGCUAGUUUCCUAGGAGUCAAGUAGAAGUUUGCUGUUGACUCCAUGAUUAGCCUACGUCUGAGGUUGUAUCUAUUACUUGCCCAUCAUAUGAAAUAUGCUUUAAUCAAAAGAAACAUCUUAUUGAAACACUCCAUGCCAACAUUACCUUCAGACUUUGCCACCAUAACAUAUACGUUCUUUUUCCAGUUUGCCGCUGGUUGAAAUGACUAAGUGGAAACGGGAGAUGCAGGAAGAAAGUCACCCUCCUAUGAUGAGAGACGGAUGUGUGGGGCCCUAAUGAGGAACCCUUUACUCCAUGAAACCGAGGGAAAGAGCUGCGCUGAGCCACGUCUGGCUGACUCUGCACAGACAAAACGGGGCAGCUCUGCUGGCCACCAAGCCCAUCAGCAGCCAGGAGAACAGCACAAGAAAAACCCACCCCCAUGACUUGAUUACCUCCCACAACACGUGGGAAUCAUGGGAGCUACAAUUCAAGAAGAGAUUUGGGUGGAGACACAGCCAAACCACGUCACCAGACUGCCUCUUCAGGGAGUGAAUCACAAAUGUAUUCCUGACCACCCUGUUUUCUCCCCUCUUGAAUCAGAGAUGGGGGUCGCCUAUAUUUCCAAGGCUGGUCUCCAACGCCUGGGCUCAAAAGAUCCUCUGCCUUGGCCUCUCAAAGUGCUGGGAUUACAGGUGAGCACCACCAUGCCUGGCCUAAAAUGUUCUUUUUUUAAGAGAUAGCUGUAACAAUCUUUAACUAUUUAGCAAUCCUUUUUUGGGGGAAAGGUUGUCUCUUGUUUGUCAGCAAAUGUAGUAUGUGAGUUUACAUGUCUUUGCUUUCAUUGUAUAAUUUCAAAUAGUCAGAAAAUAUUGCAUUCACUGGCAAUCAAUUUAUUUUGAUUGAUAAAAAGGGGUUAAUAAAAACCCCCUUAGAAAUAAAAAGAAGGUGAAUAGUAAUAUAUCAGUCAUGGUGCCUUCUUUCUGCUAUGCAUAAAGAAAACAAGCUUUUUUACUUCUCCCCAAUAAGUCUUCUCCCCUUAUUUUCUACACCUAUGGAGUCAUUUAUAAUCUUUAUUAUUUCCAACCACACACUAACAUGGCAUCAGUCAUAUUUCCACAUGCUGGGGGUUUUUUUUUUUUCCUUACUAUGUUGUGAGAACUGAAAGGCAAAAAUGUCCUAUAAUUUAUAUGAAAAUACAUGUCCAAAAUGGAUUAUCAGACAUAACUGAUGUGACUUCAUACACUUGAAAAUAAAAAAACUUAGGAUGAAAUAUAAAACAUCAUGGUAAAAUUUCAAUCUAUUGUUGAAAUAAAACAUGACUUAGAAAGGACACUGGUGUGUGGCAUUUAACAAACAUUGUCAAGCUCUUAGAAGCAGGGGUAGGUUAAGAUGGGAGAUAGUACUUUCCAUUCAAACAUAAAACUAUUGACUUUGGAAGGUACAUUUGUGGUUUAUUAAUAUUUUUAUUUAUCAACAGCACCUUUGAAGAAAAUGCAAAAUGACUAUAAAAUUCUUACCUUCUGUAUAUAGCGAGUGUUUAGAGUACCAUUGUGAGACAGACUUGGGCAUAUACGUUAUACAGUGUCAUAUAGAUCUCUAAUUUGCACUGGUCAUAAAGUCUUUU